UACAUUUGAGUGAGUGGCGAACUGGUGAGUAACACGUGGGAAACCUGCCCAGAAGCGGGGGAUAACACCUGGAAACAGAUGCUAAUACCGCAUAACAACUUGGACCGCAUGGUCCGAGUUUGAAAGAUGGCUUCGGCUAUCACUUUUGGAUGGUCCCGCGGCGUAUUAGCUAGAUGGUGAGGUAACGGCUCACCAUGGCAAUGAUACGUAGCCGACCUGAGAGGGUAAUCGGCCACAUUGGGACUGAGACACGGCCCAAACUCCUACGGGAGGCAGCAGUAGGGAAUCUUCCACAAUGGACGAAAGUCUGAUGGAGCAACGCCGCGUGAGUGAAGAAGGGUUUCGGCUCGUAAAACUCUGUUGUUAAAGAAGAACAUAUCUGAGAGUAACUGUUCAGGUAUUGACGGUAUUUAACCAGAAAGCCACGGCUAACUACGUGCCAGCAGCCGCGGUAAUACGUAGGUGGCAAGCGUUGUCCGGAUUUAUUGGGCGUAAAGCGAGCGCAGGCGGUUUUUUAAGUCUGAUGUGAAAGCCUUCGGCUCAACCGAAGAAGUGCAUCGGAAACUGGGGAACUUGAGUGCAGAAGAGGACAGUGGAACUCCAUGUGUAGCGGUGAAAUGCGUAGAUAUAUGGAAGAACACCAGUGGCGAAGGCGGCUGUCUGGUCUGUAACUGACGCUGAGGCUCGAAAGUAUGGGUAGCAAACAGGAUUAGAUACCCUGGUAGUCCAUACCGUAAACGAUGAAUGCUAAGUGUUGGGAGGGUUUCCGCCCUUCAGUGCUGCAGCUAACGCAUUAAGCAUUCCGCCUGGGGAGUACGGCCGCAAGGCUGAAACUCAAAAGGAAUUGACGGGGGCCCGCCCAAGCGGUGGAGCAUGUGGUUU
RNAcentral lists this ribosomal RNA (882 nucleotides) under uncultured bacterium. RNAcentral describes it as "bacterial SSU rRNA". It matches the Rfam family "Bacterial small subunit ribosomal RNA", at positions 82 to 947 of the family's 1533-position model. The record is from RNAcentral.